This 3214-nucleotide long non-coding RNA is filed under the name Brassica napus (rape). RNAcentral's name for it is "long non-coding RNA (BNAP_LNC013441)". The record is from RNAcentral. Lineage: Eukaryota; Viridiplantae; Streptophyta; Magnoliopsida; Brassicales; Brassicaceae.
AUGGAAUGCUUGUGGAAGCCUCAGCUAUCUCUUCAACCACCUCACACUAGAAGCCGCCUUGAUAGAGUAGCCUUCAUCUUCUCACAGCCAAGAGUACUCUGUCUUAGUUUGAGUAAUCUCUUGAAUAGACUCGCCACAGCCUAAACCCGGAUGGCUCCUUCUUCAGGUGCUUGCAAUGGACUUCUUGGAUCGCCUAGGAAGCUCACUCAACUCCCCUCCUCAAGCUUGGCCUAAUCUAGGUUCAAGCUUGAAGUGAGCUUCAGUGAGACUUCACACCAGUGGCGCCAUAUCACACUAGUAACCACUCUCCAUUGCACACACAAUGGGCAACAAGUCUUCCUCUUAUACUCGGAUGGAUGGUGAGCAAAGAACACUUCUUGUGAACCUGAAACAUCACUCAAACUCCAGCAAAGAUAAGACACAAUAGUAUUGGGAUCAAUCCUUGAUUAAUCAUCAAGUUUGAUUCCCAAAUAUCACAAGCAUUGCAACAGAUUAAACAAGUCAUUUUCAAGUUCUAAUCUUUGCAAGCAAACUCUCUAAGCACAAGCAUGAUCUUAACAGAUUCAAUACAAGCUACUUAGGCAAUUUUUAAAGCUUCUUUACUCAGCAAUUUAGACAUGAAUCUAAUGCUUCAAUGUAAGACAGCCACAAGACAGUAUGCAAUAACUUUAAAACGGUUUCAAUCCAUGUAUGCAAGCAGAUUUAAGCAAUCACAACAAGCAUCACUAUGAACCUUAGUUAAGCACUACUAUCAACAACCAAUAUCAGACCCAAUGCAUAACCUUAGGUGAUCUCAUUUCAUGAAAGCAAUCAGGUUUAGACAACUUCUAACUCCCUAACAAGCCUCACUAGAAUCAGGGUUAAGCAUUUUUAAACUUUUCAACCACCAAACAAGACUUUUUAAGCAUUAUGGGACAAAUUCAUUUCAUUUCAUUUAGCAAUCUUUAAUAUAUCCUCAAGUUUUCAAUCACAACACCACAUCACAAUCAGUUUAAUAUAAUUUUCAGUUCAAAUACUCAAGCUUUAUACAAGAGAAAGAGAUUUCCUUACAGCCAAGGAACUAGUGUUAGUUCCUUGAAAAAGCUUUAUACAAGAGAAUUUUCAGUUCAAAUACUCAAGCUUUAUACAAGAGAAAGAGAUUUCCUUACAGCCAAGGAACUAGUGUUAGUUCCUUGAAACUCCUUAGUACAUGGCAAGAUCUGAGCUGUUGGUGUCGACCCCAACAUCUCCUGCUUCCAUGGACCUUCCUCUUGAACCCACCAUGUCAAAGAGACCACCUUUCUUCAUGAGAAUCACCAUGAGACUCGCCUGGAUCUGGUUUGUUGAAGAGGCUAGCUAGACCACUUCAUAACCUUUGCUUCCAAGGCCUUCUUUCUUCAAGGGUGGACAUGAGAACGUGGAGAACAACCAGAGACAGCUACUGGACGCCAUGUAUGAGCCCACCUUCUUCUUGGAGAGGUUUUACAGCAGGCUGAACAUGAAGCUUCUUCUUGGUUUGGAAAUGACAUGGGAGAAGCCUUGAGCUUAGCGGAAGCUUGAACCAAGUUCUAAUGAACCUGGCUCUGAUACCAUAUGAGAUUUUAAGAGUCUAGGAUGUGUGUGUGAAGAACAAGCCUCUUAGGGCAGAAUAGAGUCUUGAAAUGGUGAAGAAAGAAUCUGAUGAACUAGUAUGAACUUAGAUCAGAAACAAAGAGACUUUGAGAGAUUAAGAGAUUAGAGACUAAGAAAGGGAGAGAUUAAGAGAAUCUGAUCAAGAACAUACUUUAUAAUAUGAAGGAGAUGGGGAAAUCCCCCAUACUCUCUUAAGAGCUUUAAUUUUCGUCCAUACACAUGCUUUUAUAAGCUUUACACUUUGAAACAUUAGAAACCCUUAAUCUAAUGGCUAGAAAUGACUUGUGAAAUGGAUGGCUUGGAUGUAGUCUUGUUUUGAUCUUUGCAAUCUUGGUGAUGGCUUCUGAUUGGUUAAGGAAGGCUGGCUGGUGAUUGGUCCAUUCAAACUGGUCAAGGCAAGGGCUGGCUUCUGAUUGGUUCCUUAAAGGCUCCCAUGAACCUUCCCACUUCUUUAGCUAGAUACAUGGUCCCCUUUGCUUUCCCUUUACACCUCUUGACAGCCUGUCCUUGUUGACCACGUCCUCUCUCUUCCUUAUCCACAAACAGUCUGAUUACAAUCAGACAAGGUCGCCUAAUCGCUCUCUAAACCGACGCCCUAAGUUUGCACAACUUCUGGUCGAUCCUGGGUGAAGUACGGUUGAUGGUACGGACCGCCUGUCCGUACCUCACCCUAUUUUUGCACAUCUCACCCAAACAUCUCCAAUGGUCAGACCUGACUCGGUUUGGGUCGCCCUAAGAUUGCCCGGCCCGUCCGGUUUUGUACCGUCCGUAUCGUCUGAUCAUCUGGUCGCCCUAUCUUUGCACCAUCACCCAUCUGUCUCCAAAUGGUGUCUAAGUCCCUCCUGGACUCAAACCCUAUCUUUGCACAGCCUUCAUGACACUUCUAGACUUCUCUAAACCUUCAUGAAGCCUUGAUAGACAAUCUCUUAAGAUCUUGUCCCUAUUCUUGCUCAAGACCCAAACUCAACCCAACUCCUCCUUUGGCUCCAUUUCUUUCUUCAAGUCAACACCUUGAGCCUCCUUUGCAACCGGUCAUGCUCUUUUAAUGGACUGGAGAUGCUGAAUCUUCACCCAACAGCCCCUCCUGGUGUUUAUGAACGCUACUUGAACUUUCACCUCCAAAGGUUCCUCCUUUCUUCAUCUCUUGAACUCGCCAGCUUCUGGAACUAGGGAAGGAACUCUUCUUCAAAGGUUUCCUCUUGGACAGAAGGAAUGGCUCGCCUUGUAUGGACUGGAACAGGAAGGAACCGCCAUGAUAAACCUCCAUAAUAGCUUCAGACAUCUUCUUCUCGAAGUGAGAGAGCUGGCUGGACAGAUCUUCAUGGCUUGGCUUCAUGGUGAGACAGACUUGUGACUUGAAUGCGGAAGCUACAGCUCAGGUUCUGAUGAACCUGGCUCUGAUACCAUGAGAGUUUAUAAGGAUUCACUCAAGGUGUGUGUGUAAGAAAGUGUUUAGGAGAGUUUAUGUGAACAGAUUUAAGACUUAGGAGUAUGGGGGAGAGAUUUAGAGUAUGAAAGAGACUAGGUAACCAGAUUAAAGAAACUGAGAGACUUGGAGAAUAGAUUAGAGACUUAGUAUCAAGAACAGACUUUCAUAGAACAU